RNAcentral lists this ribosomal RNA (332 nucleotides) under uncultured bacterium. RNAcentral describes it as "bacterial SSU rRNA". It matches the Rfam family "Bacterial small subunit ribosomal RNA", at positions 568 to 898 of the family's 1533-position model. The record is from RNAcentral.
AGCGUAGGCGGUUCCUUAAGUCGAAUGUGAAAUCUUCUGGCUUAAUCAGAAGUCGUCAUUUGAUACUGAGGGACUUGAGAGCAGCAGAGGGAAAUGGAACCCCCAGUGUAGCGGUGAAAUGCGUAGAUAUUGGGGAGAACACCAGUGGCGAAGGCGAUUUCCCAGGUUGUUUCUGACGCUGAGGCUCGAAAGCGUGGGGAGCGAAGCGGAUUAGAUACCCGCGUAGUCCACGCCCUAAACUGUGGACACUAGAUAUAGGAGGUAUCGACCCUUUCUGUGUCGAAGCUAACGCUUUAAGUGUCCCGCCUGGGGAGUACGGCCGCAAGGCUGAA